GAUGAAGAACGCAGCGAAAUGCGAUAAGUAGUGUGAAUUGCAGAAUUCAGUGAAUCAUCGAAUCUUUGAACGCACAUUGCGCCCCUUGGUAUCCCGAGGGGCAUGCCUGUUCGAGCGUCAUUUCACCACUCAAGCCUGGCUUGGUGUUGGGCGACGUCCUCUUUGGGGACGCGCCUCGAAACGCUCGGCGGCGUGGCACCGGCUUUAAGCGUAGCAGAAUCUUUCGCUUUGGAAGUCGGGGCCCCGUCUGCCGGAAGACCUGCUCGCAAGGUUGACCUCGGAUCAGGCAGGGAUACCCGCUGAACUUAAGCUUAUCAAUAAGCGGAGGA
Molecule: unclassified non-coding RNA, 329 nt
Filed under: soil metagenome
Description: partial contains 5.8S ribosomal RNA, internal transcribed spacer 2, and large subunit ribosomal RNA
Rfam family: 5.8S ribosomal RNA (bases 1-120)
Source: RNAcentral